CCUACGGGUGGCAGCAGUGAGGAAUAUUGGUCAAUGGGCGCGAGCCUGAAGCAGCCAAGUCGCGUGAGGGAAUACGGUCCUAUGGAUUGUAAACCUCUUUUGUCGGGGAGCAAAAGACGCCGCGCGUGGCGUUCCGAGAGUACCCGAAGAAAAAGCAUCGGGUAACUCCGUGCCAGCAGCCGCGGUAAUACGGAGUAUGCGUGCGUGAUCCGGAUGUAUGGGGUUUAAAUGGUGCGCAGGCGGAAGAUCAAGUCAGCGGUAAAAUUGAGAGGCGCAACCUCUUCGAGCCGUUGAAACUGGUUUUCUUGAGUGAGCGAGAGGUAUGCGGAAUGCGUGGUGUAGCGGUGAAAUGCAUAGAUAUCACGAAGAACUCCGAUGGCGAAGGCAGCAUACCGGCGCUCAACUGACGCUGAUGCACGAAAGUGUGGGUAUCGAACAGGAUUAGAUACCCUUGUAGUC
This 459-nucleotide ribosomal RNA is filed under the name uncultured bacterium. RNAcentral's name for it is "partial 16S ribosomal RNA". It matches the Rfam family "Bacterial small subunit ribosomal RNA", at positions 338 to 795 of the family's 1533-position model. The record is from RNAcentral.